Molecule: non-coding RNA, 90 nt
Organism: Hypoxylon sp. FL1150
Lineage: Eukaryota; Fungi; Ascomycota; Sordariomycetes; Xylariales; Hypoxylaceae
Source: the annotation of a GenBank genome assembly
AGCGCUGUCGUCUAGUGGUAGGACAACACGUUAGGGAUUACCUGUGAAUCAAUAUCCGUGUAGACGAUGGUUCGAAUCCAUCUGGCGCUA